UGGCAAAGUGGACUGCCUGGUC
RNAcentral lists this non-coding RNA (22 nucleotides) under Arabidopsis thaliana (thale cress). The record is from RNAcentral. Lineage: Eukaryota; Viridiplantae; Streptophyta; Magnoliopsida; Brassicales; Brassicaceae.